Xylaria sp. FL0933 is the source of this 104-nucleotide non-coding RNA. The record is from the annotation of a GenBank genome assembly. NCBI's taxonomy places the organism in Eukaryota, Fungi, Ascomycota, Sordariomycetes, Xylariales, Xylariaceae.
GGCCUCGUGGCCUAAUGGCUAGGGCGCUAGAUUUCGGUGGCGGUGCUUAGGUACCAAAUCAUUGAAACCUCUAGAGAUUGUCGGUUCGAGUCCGGCCGAGGUCG